CAAGUUUUCAAAAUGAGGUAUGUUCAACCUCAGAUAAACAAAACAUGACAUAUAUACUGUAUCAUUACUGAUUUAACAGAAAAAAAAAAAAAAAUCCAAAAUAUAAAAACAAUCAUAUAGAAAACGAACAAAAACGUACAUUUGAUUAUGCCGCUUGUAGAACCACUUGUCAGUGGUUUCCUUGUAUGACCAUCAGUCUCUUAAAAUGUGGAGGAAUUUCACCCCAUCCUCUGUAUAAGGUUACUUCAGUUCACUGAAGUUUGCAGUGCUAGACCGUUUGUUUCUGUCUGAACAGCACACUGUUUUGGCAACUGUGUUAACACUGGAUGUAACGGUAGUUCAGUUGUACAGGUGCCCAGCUGUGAGUGGUGUGCGGAUGUACGGCUCCUGAAUGACUGGUUCCAGCUGUUGGAAGACCACCCCUGAGAGGGCCUAGGCCUGGAGAGCUGCCAGUGACAGAGCUUCACUUCCUUUACCUAAAGCCUUAUCAGCUGCUCCUGUGACAGUCGCUGGCUGAGGUUCUCUGUAGUGAGGAAGGGGAGUGGGUAGAGGUAAGCUUCCGAUUCCUUAAACCCAUAGUUUUCUCCUGUUUUUGGAUAGGACAAGGAGGUCAGACUGUCUUUGUUUUGGUACUUUUUCUGAGGUUAUGGGCAUUGGAGCUUAGCUUUGUUUUCUUCAUUAUUUUGGCCUCAGCUCACCCCAAAGUGUUGGCACUCCUGUCUUGUUGCUUUCCCCACUACUUUGUAAAUAAACGCCAUGUAAUGUCAAGUGAUUGUCAUUACAUCACAAUCGCGUGUCGCUUCUUGGGUCUGGGGGAAACCAAGUGCUGCAUUGAUACUAUUGUGGUGGCGUGCAGGAGGAAACCUGGUAAAGGUAACUACAUGGUGUUGACAACACCACCUGGAGAGGGAGUUACACCCCAGGAGAGAUUACAAUUUCCAGUGCAAACGUUGUAACAGUUACAAAAGGCACACAGGCUCAUUAUUAACAAGCAGAGGAAUGGCAAAUACAUUUCAUAGAACAAAGUUCAGACAACUACCAAUAAUUAGCUGCAGAAAAGAAAACAGCAACUUAAGCAGGGCUGGCAAUACUGAACCAUUAAUUAAGACACUUGAUUAGCAAACAUUACUAAAAAGAACAAGGUUUGCUGCCACGAUGCUGCCCUGGUUACAAUAGCAGCUCAAUAAAAUAGUUAAUCAAAAUGGUGGAGAUCGGCACUUGGGGAGGCAACCUACAGAGAGGAGUGCCCAAGGGUGCCACCAAUUACUCACCAGUGUAGUCUCUCUGCAAUCCUCACUGCAACUUAAAUGGUGCGUUAUACUUGUUUCCCAGGGCGGGGGAAUUCCACCACAGAUGGCUAGUCCCCACAACAAGCAACUGUAUCUCCACUAAAGAAAAAUAAAACUUAUAAAACUUAUAAAUUAACACACACACCCUUUAAAAUACAACUGCUAUUAAAAGCACGAUUAAAAUAUAACAAACAGUUAACACUAAAACAGGGGAAAUGAAUGUAAUCUGCAAUACUUAAAAACAGCCUGUGAUCUUCACCACCUUCAACAGGAACGAAUGCAAGGAGCAGGCUAUAGCUGCUCCUUAUAACCCGGCUCUGAUUAACAGCAAGGGAUGGGUGAAUGUUCAUGCUGCAUUCAAAGACACCAUGCAAAAACCAUCUACCAAAUCUAACCCACUACACUAUGACCUGGCCCAUAGACGGGUUGUGUGGCAUUAAUUUCAUUUGGGUUGAUGACUGGACCAUGACAAUGGUUCUUUUCUUUUUCAGCCAUUCUGCUGUAGAUGUAGCUGUUGGUGUUUUUGCAGUUUAUCUGAGCACUUGACAGUCUCGUGUGUGUUUUAGAAAAUCCACUACUUUGAAAGCUGGCAACUGUCCUGAAUUUUUUCCAUUGUGGAAUGAUGACCUUAUAACCCUUUUCUGAUUGAUGGGCAACAGCGAUCAGUUUGCAUCUGAUUUAUUUUUCUAUAUUAUAUCCUAGCACAUAAAACCUUAGAAGUAACAAAGGGUGUGCUUUCUUUUUUAAGGUGACUGUAUAUCCCACAUACUUUUUGAGAGAUGACUUUUUAUAACAAGCUUAGACGAGGCAAAGUGUCAAUACUGCAGGACUGCAGGAAAAAAGGCAUGGUAAAUCUCACCUACUUUAUGCGACGUUAUCUAUGGUCUGUUGCUGUGGUAUUGGUAAAAGUAGAACAGUGCAAUACAGGGUGGGAAAAAAAUACUUUACUGUGAACAGAUGUCAGGGUGCACUCUCACAGAAUCGUCUCCGACUUCAAAGACUGAACCAGCCAACCAAAAGAAGAAGAAAAGGCACUCACGUGGCCACACACCAUGAUCGAUUUCCUGUUUGCACACCAUUUCUGUGGCAUUGUGUAAGCAUCUAGGCAAGGUCUUAAUAGUAUGCAUGCAUGUCCACUGUGCAGACAUACAUGCAAAGAAGCUGUACGCUAUAAUUAAGAUGAUUAUUAGAUAUCAAAUUUUCCUUAUGUGACAUUAAAGCUGGUAAAGUUGUUGCGCAGAGAUAAGGAUUAAACAGCAUAUGACUCAAUGGUAAGAAAACAUUAUUCCUAUUUAAUCUGCACCACAUUUAGUUUUGCACAGGAUGUGAACUUUAUAGUUCUUGUGAGCAUUUUAUUGCAUUUUGUUACAAUCAUAGGGUACUUAAAGUUGACUGUUUUGGUACUGCACUCCAGUUUCUUGUAAAUAAAAAGAAACUGUCAGCUGAAAUGAGGUUGAACAUUCUUCAUGUAUUUAGAAAUUAGACUAUUUUGUGUUUUGUGUGACCCUGUUUAUUGUUGCUUCUAUGCCCAGGACUUCCUUAAUAACUACUUUUUGAUACUCAGUGCAAAUAAAAUACUAAUCGCAGACAUUUACAGUUCAAAUAAAUUAUCUUUUUUUUCAAGCUGGCAUGGAAGACUUUUCAAGAUAUUGGGGAAUCAACAGGACCCUUUUUCUAAUAUGUUGCAUCGUGUGUAUGUUUUUACAAGCAGGUAAAAUUCAUUUACAGUUACUUUGACAAUGAGUAGAACUUAGUGGAACAGUUUAGUAACUUGAGAAUUUUUUUUCCAGUUUUUGCUUUUGUACUGGAAGCUACAACGAAAAAAAUGUCUGAAUAGUGAAAAAGAAGGUUAUUUUUUAUAUCUGGAUUUUUAUUUGCUUGUAUUUUUUUAAAUUCAAUCUCAAGAAUUAAUCAAAACAAGGUUAUGACUUUAAUUUCUGUGCUUUGUUUUUUGAGAUGUUGGCUCUAUUCUGCAGCAUGCCCGCCUUUUUACAAAGCUGUGUAUUUGCCCCCUUCCUUAUUUUUAUUUUUUAUUUUUUGUAAAUUUGUCACAAAAUACAGUUUUUAAAUGAUGAUUUAUAUAUUAGGGAAAGAAAGCUAUCCAGAUCUACCUGACCGUAUGCAAAGAACAAGUAAUUCCCCCCUAGACCCAAGAACUGCGAUCAAGCAUUUGUAGAAAUUGGUGAGGCAUCUUUCACAUCUUUGUCGAGUAUAUUUGUUCUUGGCCAGACAUUCUCUCUGAGCAUUUUCUUUUAGAGAGCAGAAUUCACAGCCCCAUUAACUAUGGAAAGUCAUUCAGGUCCUAAAGCAGCAAAGCAGUCCCACAACUGUCACACUACCACCACCAUGUUUGACUGUUGGUAUGAUCCUUUUAUGAAAUGUUGUGUCAGGUUUACAGCAUGUAUUGGGACUCAAACCUUUAAAAAAGAUCAACUUUUUUUUCUCAUCAGCCCACAGAAGUCUCAAAAGUCUCAGGGAUAAACAGGAUUUUUUUUGCCAAGUGUGAGAUUAGCCUUCGUGGUUUUGUUUCUUGGAACCUUUGGAACUUUUUUUAAUGGUCUUUUUAUAAUUGUUGAAUCAUAAACACUGCCCUUAACUGAGGAAAGUGAGGCCUGAAGUUCUUUAGAUGUGGUUUCACACCUCAGAGACCCUGUGUUUUUUUUUGUUUUUUUUUAGCCUCCUCAUUGAGUCGUCAGUGUGCUCUUGGAGUAAUUUUGGUACACUGGCCACUCUUCGGAAGGUUAAUGUAGAUUUAUUUGUGGAUAUCAGCUCUCACUAUGAUUUGCUUGAGUCCCAAAGCCUUAAAAAUUACUCUGUUACAUACAGCCAGGUAGGUUUGGAUAGCUUUUUUCUCAACAAAUAAAAUCACCGUUUGAAACUUUUACUUUUCUCACAUGCAUUCAAUAUUGAUUAAGUCAGAAAAAGGAUGAAAAAGCAGAGCUGGGAUAGAGGUGGGCUGCAAAGUGACUUGCAGAGAAUAAUAAUAAUAAUGUUAUAGUUGAAAAUGUGUAGGAGCAUCAGCUGAGCUAACUAAUAUAUAUGUAAUAUAUAUGUAUAUAUAUGUAAUUGAAAUAAUAAGUAAAUGAGGCCUAUAAUGUGAUUUUUUUUGUCUUUCAAGAAGGGAACAGCACUUCCUUGAUGGCUGGGAGCACAGUGACCCUGCACUGUAGCAAUAACUCAAUCAGCGACCUCCAACAACUGACAUGGAAAAGGAAUGGGACUCUUCUGUUUAGUUUCAAGGCACAGAAAACCUCAAACAACAGCUCUGUGACUUUAAGCAGUAAUCAGAACAUGUCAGACAGCAGAAUAAUAAGGUCUCAUGCAGCUGCCAUCCUGAAUCUAAGCAUGUCCACCUUAAAAAGCCAACUGUAUGCACUAAUCAUAGAGAGAGCUCAGAAACAUCACGAAGGAAACUACACUUGUGAAACGACCACAGACUCAGGAGUCUUCGAACAGAAAUGGGAGCUCAUAAUUACAGAGAACGCUGAAGCUGAAGGUCCAUUUAAAAUCCAUAUUGCUGCAGCAGUUGUUGUCCCUUCGCUAUGUUUCCUGAUCUUUAUAUUAACUGCUGUGAUCAUUCUCAGAGGAGUCUGCAAACGACGUUCGCAAAGAAUCACCCAGGCUCCUAGAAGACUGCAGGAGCAGAGACAACCCACUUAUGAAAACCUGGAUUUUGAAGGUCGCCAACAAUGUGGACAAAUUCAGGUUCACCCCUAUAAAUACAGGGCUGAGUGAUAUGAAUCGCACAGUAACAUAAGGCCUAACUCUUUUAAAUGAUCAACCACUUUAAACGGCUUUCUCUGUGAAUGUAUUGUAGUGAAGAGCACAGUCUGUACUUGAAGCUGCAUUAUUUAUUUUUUUCUGGCUGAACUGAAGACCAGUCAGAAUGUGACCUCAUCGAUUUGUAGUCAUAAGUUAACAGCUGACAGUAGAUACCUGUCAGUUUUGUACAGGGUGUUUAAUUACUGACGAAAAUAGAUUGCUUGGAGCUCUUAAAUGCACUGUUACUCACACACUGGCUAAUGUUGUUGUUUUAAAUGAAUUCAGAACACACCCUCAUGUUAUCUUAGGCUGCUCUGCUUAGUAAUCUCAAGACUUUACAGCGUUACAGAGAGAACAAGUGCCCAUUCAGUAUGAGUUUAGUGCUGCAGUUUAUCUCUAGUGCAAAAGUAAAACUUGACACAUUUAAACAUGAUAGGGUAGUUGAGGCACUGAUUGGGAUGCUGUCUCACAGUUUAAUGUAGAGAGAAGCAGAUCAAAGUGAAAUUUAUUUAAUUAAUAAAUUAAAUUAACUUUCUAUGCUUUAAUUCUGCAGUUUUUUCCCUCAUCACCAGGUAAAUGCACAAUGCAAUUUCAAAUACAUUUUUUAUGCUGUUGCAACCUCACAGAAGAUCUCCUUUCUGUGCUUUUAAUAAGAUCCGUCUCAAUCCACUGCAUAUAUAAAAAGUAUUAUUUCAUCACAUAUUAUAUCACUUUUAAAGCACACAGUAGCAACAACCCCAUUUCUAAAAAGUUGGGACACUGUGUAAAAUAAAAACAGAAUGCAAGUUUUACCAAAUCUAAUAAACUCAUUUUUUAUUUCUAUCAAACAUAUAAAUCAAAUAUCGAAUGUUUAAACUGAGACAUUUUACUCUUUCAUGAAAAAUAUGAGCUCAUUUUCAAUUUAAUGGCUGCAGCCUGUGUCAAGAAAUCUGGGACAGGGGCAACAAAAGACUACAAGUAAUUAGGUUAAUUGUUAACAGGCCAGUAAAACCAAUCUUUGAAAAAUACGAUGGACUGCUUUCAGAACUGCACAUGAUUAUUUUCAGCUAGCAGGUUGUUAAUGCUAUCCAUCGAGUCUAACAAUCUGCAGUCUAUGAACUAACCUCAGCUAAUGCCAGCUAACAAUGUUAGCUUGGUGGCGAGUGGCCUUUAGUAAUAGUAAUAAAUCACACAGCAAUAGUACAUCGAAGAUACUGAAGUGGCGCAUAACCCAGGUAGCUACCACAACUAAAACAAGGUAGUUGCAGUAGGCUAACAUUAGUUUUUAAAAAAGAACUCACUUCCAGAUGUUUCUUUAAGUUGGAGGUGGAGUCUUUUUACGCUGAGAGCAACUUGGUUUCUGGCAAACAUAGUUUGCAAUGCAUGGUCAGAUUUUGCCCAUCCUUUUCUUCUUUAAAUGUUAAGUGGUGUCGGAAUUUCCAAGUAAGAAAUGCGUUCCUGCCCGUGCACUUCUGGCUCUGUUGUGCUGGCUCUGGGUCCAUUGUGUAACUGAUGCCACCAACAUUAACAGGAGACUUACAUUAAAGCCUCUUAUUUCGCGUUUUGUUUGGGUUUCCAGCAAUGUGUGGAAUUACCAGAAUUAGAGAGGGGAUAGAGAGGGGAUAACCCAACAUAUGAAACAGGAAAAGGCCGCCAUGUAAUCCAUUUAUUUCAAAAAAGUAACUGUAUUCUAAUAAACCCCCUUUAAACAGUAACUGUAACUGAAUACAGUUACUCAUAUUUUGUAUUUUAAAUACGUAACACUGGCACAUGUAUUCCGUUACUCCCCAACACUGCCCUGGACUGUAAAUUAACUCCUAUAUGAGACUUAAAUGGACAACAUUCCUCUUCCAAAAGUCCAGCAACUGGUAUUUUCAGUUUCUAGAUGUUAACACACUGUUCAUAAAAGAAGUGGGGAGGUACACCGUUCUAAACGUGGCCCUGAAACAUGCUGGAACCACAAAUUCAAAUUCAUUUCUUAAAAUGGCACAGUUUACAAGUUUACACGUUUGAUAAACAUUUUCUAAGUAAAUAGAAUAUACAUUUACAUUUGUGAGAUUUGCAAAUCAUUGCAUUUUGUUUCUAUUUACAUUUUGCACAGGAUCCCAACUUUUUUGCAACUGGGGUUAUAGAAGUGACACUUUGAGGCAGUUUUACCCCAAAACUGCGCAUCACCUGCUCCAGAUCAGACUAUGUUUGCAGGAUGAGUUACCAUGGUGAUCUAGCCAGGUUAAAGGAAAGACAAGUUUGUGACACUGCAGACUCUGACUUUAAGCUUUACACAGCUCACUAAAGCAUUAAUCCCACUUUGUACUAUACUCCUUUUGACUGCAUUCUAAAGAGAGUCAAAAAGAUGGUACAGAAGUCCCAUUUAGACUCUGCGUGACUCAGUGGAACAUAUCUCACCUACUUCCCUUGUCUGUGGUCUCUGGUGUGAAGUGGCGUAGAUGCAUAAAAAAAACAACAAAAAAACAACCACAACUCACAAAAGUGUCCUAUUUAGAUCAACAAACGGUUUAACUCCAGACACUGAUGUAGGAGGUAAUUUCCUGAGAAAUUAUUUUUUCCAUCUAAAUAAAAUCUAAAAGAGCAAACAGUGCACUGCUAUUGCACAUAACCUAUUCAGUUCAUCAGCUGGCAAAGUGCAUAAACAGAAAGCUUAAAGGUCAUGAAAGAGAAGUACAGUGCUUAAAAAAAUUAUUCAAAAGCAGUAUACAUGAGCCAAGUUUAAACUCCCGGAGGUUGGAGCUGCCCACACUGGCAGUCCACACCUCUAAUUUGAAAAGGGCCUUAAUAAAAAUAAGAACGGAUAAGUCAGAAAGAAGAAAAAACAUCUCCCUCAUCCAUAUUAGGUUAACUGGAGACUAAAAGUUGCCCAAAGGUGUGAGUGUGAAUGGCUUUCUGUCUCUAUGUGCUGACUCUGCAGUAGACAUUCUUGAACCCCUCCCCCCACAGCUCAGCCUGAUUUGGAUAAGGGGUUAACAAGUUGCUCCAGUGUUUUGUUUUGUUUUUCUGAAUAGAUAUCAUUUAAUGUGUAGCACCUAUGCUUGUAGAGACUACAUUGAUCAGGUGUAACAUUAUGACUACCUGCCUAUAUUACGUUUGCCCGUUUUUCAGCUGCAGUGCACUGUGUAUUCUGACACUUUUCCAUGAGUACCAAUAUUACCUUUUUUGGCAAUUUGAGCUACAGUAGCUCAUCUGUUGGACCAGACCACAAGCACCAGCCUUUGGCCUUUAAUGACCCUGUGACUGGUUCACCACUGUUCCUUCCUUAGUCCACUUUUGAUAGAUACUGACCAUUGACUGGGAACAAAGGCUGGGAGCAGGGGUUUCGAGGUGCUCUGAUCCAGUCGCCUAGUUUGCCCUUGUGACACUUGCUCAGAGCCUUACGCUUGCCCUUUUUUCCUGCUUUGAACACAUGUAAUUUGAAGACAAAAUGUUCACUUGCUCCCUAAUAUAUCCCACCCAGUAAGAGGUGCCAUGCUGAAGAGAUAAUCAGUGUUAUUUCCUCACCUGUUAGUGGUCAUAAUGUUAUACCAGAUCGGUGUAGGUACAUUACAAUCAAAACCAUAACUUUUGAAAAAUGUGAAUGACUUUAUUUUGUACAGGUUACCUCUUUUGCAAGCACAACUGUGUAUAUAGAAAAAUGGAAUGUGAGUGUUGUGUGUAUAAAACAACGAAAUAAAAGAAAAUAACAAAAAAAAAAAGAAAAUUCAUUUAAAAUCAUAAUAACACAAGGGGGAAAAGUCACUUACUCAGUGCCUUUGGCCUCUGCUGUGCCUCUGACUCAGUCCUCAUGCCAGAACCAAUCAAUGUCGAGUUCCUGUAGAGUCUUUGCCAAGUAAAAGCGCCCAAGAAUGUCACCAUUGAUUUGUGACAAUUUUUCUGGUCUUGUUUUCAAGGGAAAAAAAUGAUAAUAAUGAGGCCCAGACACAGAGCGUAUGAAACAUGGAAACAAAUUAAACCUAUUUUGUAACCCUUAAUAUAGACAAUUGUGUAUGGUAUGCUCAUUGUGAU
Long non-coding RNA from Oreochromis aureus, 9047 nucleotides. The record is from Ensembl. NCBI's taxonomy places the organism in Eukaryota, Metazoa, Chordata, Actinopteri, Cichliformes, Cichlidae.